GCUAGUUUGGGUCAAAUGUGAAAACCUUCCAUGUCUUUCUCCAGAGAAGGGAAUUACCAGCCUCCUCCUCUCCUGCCCUUCUCCCUCCACCCAGCAUCUAAAAGUCAUUACUAGGCUGAGUGGAUACAGCAUCAUGGAAGCAGGUGCACAGCAUGAGCCCUGCCUCCUAGGACAAGGGGUGAGCUGCAAAACCAGGGGCACGUGGCCAGAGGGGCCUCAGGCCUUGACUCAGCCUCCUCGAGGCAGGGAGGUCAAGCUUCAGGCCUUGAAGACAAGCCUGAAAAAAAAAGUACCUCACAAAAGAUGCAUACCACUCAGUCAUACCCUUUCCGGUAAGAUUACAGUAUUCGCGUUCGAGUAUCACGAUUUUUUUCUGCACUGUAUGGUGAAAAGAACUAUGUUAAUAGCUGUAUCUUAAAUACUGUGAUUUGAGGGGUUUUUAAAAUGCUAAUAUAAAUAUUUUACUAACUUACAAUCAUGCAUCUAAUAACAAACGUUCGGGUUCUUUUGAAAUCAGUGUUAAUUGAUGUAUGCUCUUAAUAGCCUGGCUCUGGGACCUAUAGGAAACACAAAGGAAGCUGAAAUGUCGCAACUAAAAUGCAACUGCACACACACACACACACACACACACACACACACGUCAAAGCUUUUCAUCUCUCCUGAGCCACGUAGAACUGUUUUUCACUGUACAAAUCUGUUUCAUUCAUCACACUUCACCGGCAAGCAGCACAGCGAGCCCAUCUCAUCAUUUCUACCGGCAAGGCCGCCUUAGGCCCAGGUCAGAAGUCAAUGUUGCACACAGCAGGGUCUCACCGAAGACCCUGACCCCUUCCUGCAUAGUAAGUAGCCAUCUGCUCUUCAGGAAGUUACUGCCUGUGGGUUUUUACCAAAGACUUUUCAAUUUGAAAAAUGCUUUCAGAAAUGAUUUGCACCAGCUGGUUCUCUGGCAGCCUCCACACGGCCCAACCUGAAGCAUAAAACAGAAACCACAGACUCCGAGCAGUUCCAAAGGAGAUCUUCGUGAGCAGGCUCUGGUGUCCUCUGGGCAGGGGGCAUCCAGGGCCUCGGGAAGCAGGGGUGUGCAGAGAAGAGCAAUGGCAUCUUCCUCAUCACGUUAACUGAUAGUAGUUCCAGGCAAUUAGAAAAUGGCUAUAAAGUAACUUUAAUUUUUAAAAAAUCUUAUUCAUUUUCCCACUAGGAGAUUGAACUGAUCAUAUAUAUUGAUUUAUAUCCUGAAUUUGGGGGAACUCAUAUGUUUGGAAUGUCC
Molecule: long non-coding RNA, 1267 nt
Filed under: Equus caballus (horse)
Lineage: Eukaryota; Metazoa; Chordata; Mammalia; Perissodactyla; Equidae
Description: lncRNA (ENSECAG00000051273.1)
Source: RNAcentral